This 301-nucleotide ribosomal RNA is filed under the name uncultured bacterium. RNAcentral describes it as "partial 16S ribosomal RNA". It matches the Rfam family "Bacterial small subunit ribosomal RNA", at positions 509 to 807 of the family's 1533-position model. The record is from RNAcentral.
CAGCCGCCGCGGUAAUACGGAGGGAGCUAGCGUUGUUCGGAAUUACUGGGCGUAAAGCGCACGUAGGCGGCUUUGUAAGUUAGAGGUGAAAGCCUGGAGCUCAACUCCAGAAUUGCCUUUAAGACUGCAUCGCUUGAAUCCGGGAGAGGUGAGUGGAAUUCCGAGUGUAGAGGUGAAAUUCGUAGAUAUUCGGAAGAACACCAGUGGCGAAGGCGGCUCACUGGACCGGCAUUGACGCUGAGGUGCGAAAGCGUGGGGAGCAAACAGGAUUAGAUACCCGCGUAGUCCCUGUCUCUUAUAC